Molecule: non-coding RNA, 1035 nt
Organism: Paramuricea clavata
Lineage: Eukaryota; Metazoa; Cnidaria; Anthozoa; Malacalcyonacea; Plexauridae
Source: the annotation of a GenBank genome assembly
CAAAAAUCCUCAAAAUCUUCAAGGAAGGCUGAGGAAGUUAUUGCAAUGUGUGCGACUCUAAUGGCCUCAGGCGGGAAUCAAACCUACGACCCUGGUAUUUCGGUGGAUUCUGACCACUGGGCUACUGAGAACAGCUGCCAAGACCUGACCACAAGUUCAUCUAUAUAAUAUAUAUUGGGGGCAUGCCGUAGCAGGGUAAGGGUAAUUUGUUUUACAUUUUGCGCAAUUUUCUCGAAAGAUGCAACAGUAGGCGUCAGGCAGGAAUGAAAGCCAUGGCCCUGCCAUUUCAGAUGAUUUCAAUGCAUUCUGACCAUUGAGCACUCCAGCUGCCCAAGCCACAAUAUUAAACCAUGGCAGAUGUUAGAUAUGGGUAAAUUAUUGUUUAUUUUGGCCAACCCAGUCUAUAUCAGCUAAUAUUUUUGACAGGACAUUGUAUCUCUCUCGACAGAAUACAAAUUGUUAAGAUAUUUCUUGUAUAUACUUCGAGAAAAUAGUUUACGCUUAGCUUCAUAGUCCAGUUUUCAUACAGAGUUCAGUUAUUUAGUUACUUUAUGUAUACAAGAGAAAAUGUGUAACUCUUUUGGCCAAUUUGAGGAAAUGUUCUGUUUCAUGAUGAGGUUUUAUUGUUCGGAACUCUAACCCUUGUUGGUAUUAAUAUUAGUUAAACGCAGGAAGUCCUUAAUAAGAAAUAGAAAAUCCUUGAAAUUUCUGUAAAAAAUAAAGUGUACAUAUAUUGUCAUGGCGCCGAUGAUUAGCGUUCAAAAGAAAUAUAUUGCAGAGAAAUGAAACGUUUCUGAUGUUAUCGCCGUCUGUCGGCGGCGUCCUGGAAGCCGCCAGCCCGAUGGUCUGUUUGUAAGAAACCGGCGCGGGUUUUCCCAAGAGCCAAUAAAUUCCUAAUUGUUUCUACAAGGGGGUACACGUCGUUGCCGAGCCAAACUGCAAACAUUCUUACAACUGCGUAUAUUGCAGGGGACAGCCACUAAACCACCUUGUCAUCAUGCAGUUUAGACAAAAGCAGGGCCGCCGAGAGGGGGG